AAUAUUGCACAAUGGGCGCAAGCCUGAUGCAGCCAUGCCGCGUGUAUGAAGAAGGCCUUCGGGUUGUAAAGUACUUUCAGCAGUGAGGAAGGUGGAUAUGUUAAUAGCAUAUUCAUUUGACGUUAGCUGCAGAAGAAGCACCGGCUAACUCCGUGCCAGCAGCCGCGGUAAUACGGAGGGUGCGAGCGUUAAUCGGAAUUACUGGGCGUAAAGCGCAUGCAGGUGGUUUGUUAAGUCAGAUGUGAAAGCCCGGGGCUCAACCUCGGAAUUGCAUUUGAAACUGGCAAACUAGAGUACUGUAGAGGGGGGUAGAAUUUCAGGUGUAGCGGUGAAAUGCGUAGAGAUCUGAAGGAAUACCGGUGGCGAAGGCGGCCCCCUGGACAGAUACUGACACUCAGAUGCGAAAGCGUGGGGAGCAAACAGG
RNAcentral lists this ribosomal RNA (424 nucleotides) under uncultured bacterium. RNAcentral describes it as "partial 16S ribosomal RNA". It matches the Rfam family "Bacterial small subunit ribosomal RNA", at positions 360 to 776 of the family's 1533-position model. The record is from RNAcentral.